This 947-nucleotide ribosomal RNA is filed under the name uncultured Chloroflexota bacterium. Its description in RNAcentral is "bacterial SSU rRNA". It matches the Rfam family "Bacterial small subunit ribosomal RNA", at positions 524 to 1482 of the family's 1533-position model. The record is from RNAcentral. Lineage: Bacteria; Bacillati; Chloroflexota.
AACGUAGGUGGCAAGCGUUAUCCGGAUUCACUGGGCGUAAAGCGCGUGCAGGUGGCUCUGUAAGUUGGAUGUUAAAUCUUCCGGCCUAACCGGGAGUGGUCAUUCAAUACUGCGGGGCUUGAGGGCAGAAGAGGGGGGUGGAAUUGCCGGUGUAGUGGUGAAAUGCGUAGAUAUCGGCAGGAACACCUAUGGCGAAAGCGGCCCCCUGGUCUGCUCCUGACACUCAGACGCGAAAGCUAGGGUAGUGAACGGGAUUAGAAACCCCGGUAAUCCUAGCCGUAAACGAUGGAUGCUAGGUGUAGGUGGUAUUGACCCCAUCUGUGCCGAAGCUAACGCGUUAAGCAUCCCGCCUGGGGACUACGGCCGCAAGGUUAAAACUCAAAGGAAUUGACGGGGACCCGCACAAGCAGCGGAGCGUGUGGUUUAAUUCGAUGCUACACGAAGAACCUUACCCAGGUUUGACAUACAGGUAGUAGUGAAGCGAAAGCGGAACGAUCCUUCGGGAAGCCUGAACAGGUGCUGCAUGGCUGUCGUCAGCUCGUGCCGUGAGGUGUUUGGUUAAGUCCACUAACGAGCGCAACCCCUGUCGUCAGUUACAUGUGUCUGGCGAGACUGCCGGUCUUAAACCGGAGGAAGGUGGGGAUGACGUCAAGUCAGCAUGGCCUUUAUAUCUGGGGCUACACACACGGUACAAUGGCCGGCACAAUGGGUUGCCAACCCGCGAGGGGGAGCUAAUCCUAUAAAGCCGGUCUCAGUUCGGAUUGUAGGCUGCAACCCGCCUGCAUGAAGCCGGAGUUGGUAGUAAACGCGCGUCAGCCAUAGUGCGUUGAAUACGUUCCCGGGUAUUGUACACACCGCCCGUCACGUCAUGGGAGCUGGUAACACCUGAAGCCGGUGCGCUACCCGUAAGGAGGCAGCCGUCGAGGGUGGGACUGGUGACUGGGAAG